This 433-nucleotide ribosomal RNA is filed under the name uncultured bacterium. Its description in RNAcentral is "partial 16S ribosomal RNA". It matches the Rfam family "Bacterial small subunit ribosomal RNA", at positions 29 to 507 of the family's 1533-position model. The record is from RNAcentral.
AACGAACGCUGGCGGCAUGCCUAACACAUGCAAGUCGAACGAGACCUUCGGGUCUAGUGGCGCACGGGUGCGUAACGCGUGGGAACCUGCCCUUAGGUUCGGAAUAACUCCCCGAAAGGGGUGCUAAUACCGGAUAAUGUCUUCGGACCAAAGAUUUAUCGCCUUUGGAUGGGCCCGCGUUGGAUUAGCUAGUUGGUAGGGUAAAAGCCUACCAAGGCGACGAUCCAUAGCUGGUCUGAGAGGAUGAUCAGGCACACUGGGACUGAGACACGGCCCAGACUCCUACGGGAGGCAGCAGUGGGGAAUAUUGGACAAUGGGCGAAAGCCUGAUCCAGCAAUGCCGCGUGAGUGAUGAAGGCCUUAGGGUUGUAAAGCUCUUUUACCCGGGAUGAUAAUGACAGUACCGGGAGAAUAAGCGCCGGCUAACUCCGUG